UAUAUAAUGUAUAAUAAUGCUUUUUUUUUUUACUUGAAAACUGUGAAAAUUUAAAUACAUUUUUAAGCAGCGUAGGUAAUAUCAGAAUUAACCACAGUAACAGUACUAAUAGAAAUGUCAAUGCUGACUGCUCUUACUAAUGGAAGUGUCAUUACUGCUUUACAAGUACUAGCAUAGUCUGACACACUGGUGUUACAUUUUUUCUUUUAUCAUCUUUUUGUGUUUCAUUUUUAUUUUUGUCACAUGCUUUAUUUCCAGUAAUUCAUCUACAAUUAUACCACUAUUUACAAACCCCAGUCCUUGAACGAACAGUUCAAAUAUGCUGAAUGAAAUGAACUAAUAGUCUACUUCCCCCAGCAUGGCGUGAACACUGAAUUAUCAGUGUUAGCAUUAUGUCUUCUGGAUGAAAUAGGCUAAACUCUUCUGUCCCAAAAGGAUUCAAUCAGAAGCAAACAGAAUGUGGGUAAGUGUGAGUGAGUGAAGACCCCGACUGCAAGAACAUUUACGAAGCAAUCUCAGGCACUAGAUUCAGACUAGCUCAGCAUCCCAGUGCACUGUUUCAGGGUCAAUGCUUUUGCAGAAAGCAGUAAAUCUGAUCCUAGAUCAGCACAUCUAGUUUAAGAUGUCAAAUGAAUACAGAACCAGGAAAUUGUGGUUUUUCACAAAAAUAUUAUUACAUAUUUUAUAAUGCACAAUUUAAUAGCUUUAAUGUUUAUAUAUUAAGUACUGUCCCAAAGUCACAGUGCAACAUUUUGCUUAGUGAGAAGUGCCAUCCCAGUGUUGGAGUAGUCACAAAAGAAAAUGUCCAAUCUAAAUGAAAUUAUGUUUAAAACAUAUGAAAACAAUUUGUUUUCUCCAGUUAUACGAGAAUUCUAACAUGGCCAUUUGAGUAGUAUCAUAAAAGAGGGUUUUAUUGGUUCACUCAGUUGCAUGUCAUUAUCGGUGCAGUGGUCUGCUGUGGGACGCUACUGGAUGCUCUAUCACAACCCAAGACUGCCAUGUCUAGAAGGUCAGAUGAACGUUCCGGAUAACAGAGGAGGCCAUUUUGAGUGUGGACCGGAGGUGGUAUUGAGAUUCCAUAGUGUUACCCACAUGCUCGGUUUAAUUCUGACUGAAUUUACAUGUAAUGUAUACCACCAGGAGGAGAGCCAGGAGCUGGGAUUGGGAUGAUGAGAUUUUGUCAUAAGGUAUUACAGUAAACGCAAACUAAUGUUGCCAUUUGGUAUAAGAUGAAGGAACACUGCGGUCUGAGUUCCUUAAGUGCUGUGAUAUAAAUGCCAUACUGCAGAGCUGGAAGUGUCACACUCCCCAGAAUGAUGACAUGGCUGAUACAUUCACCUUACUGAUACGUUCACAAUCCUGUUGUCAGUUUGGCUCAGUUUUAAGGUGUCUAGAUGCAUUUUUUUUCUGUUUGUCUUGGGUUUUUGCAGCUGAAUAGUGAGUAACCAGAACAUGACUGCAAGCAUCUCAUCAGUCGUGGUAGUGAAGGUGUCAUACCUUGUCACGCCAUUAAUUUGGGUUAUGAAAAUAUCAAAGCCACUCAAAUUCCUUUAGAGGGUUUUACAUGUAGAGCAUGCAUUUCAUUCUUCUUUUCUGCAGCUCACACAGUGGGUUUUGAGUUAUGGUAACCAAAUUAAUCAACCUUAUAUCAAUUGUGCUUUUUCUUAAGCAGGAAAGUCCAUUAGAGAUGUGUGCAAGUUGUGGUAAUAACCUGUAGCCAUGGCAACCAGUAUUAGAGGGUCGGCUAUCACUGCUUUUUGAAUUAUUUUUCUUCUCUUAUGUUAGACAAAUUAUCAUGUCCAAUGCGUUCUGUAGCUUCCAGAAAUAUUGAGAAUUCUGUUUAUACUACAUACAAAGAUAUGUUUAUAUUUAUUUUUGAUCGUGAAUCCUACAUCUAUUAAAGGCCUUAACUCCCUUGGUGGGCGGACCCUCGCAGCAAAUAACUUGAUUGGCCACAACUAUUUCCUUAAAAAGUUUGGCAUCACGUGUAAGGUCACUCGCUGUCCCUCAUUAUAUCUCGUUAAAGGCCUUAAAUCUUCCGCUGAAAGCGGUUAAGAUGUUAUGGACCCCGAUUGAUUUACCGAGGUAGCAGAUGAGCACUUGAGCGUCUGCCAGUGUGCUAGGUGAGCUCUCCGCGAGAUCCUGUAACUUCACCCCGCCAGCGGCAUUAGCUCCGGCGGACAGUUUGUGCGUUUGUUGACGCGGUCACCAAGGAAGCAGCGCGAGUGACAGACACGCACGCUCAGCUGUUCUGCGUCUUCAGCGGGAAUGUUGGGAGAGCGAGAGCUCUGUCGUCAACCGCCCCCAAGCGGAGGUCCAACACUGAACUGCAGUACGGAGACGAACAUAUCUCCAACUUCGCACGUUCUCCUGAUGGAGAGGGAACUCUGAACCAGGCACCAGCUGCUCCCUGCUCCUCCGCCGGGUGAAGGGUUCUCCCAAGGACAGCUUCUCCACUUUAGACACGGCCUCCCUACACACCAAGGGCAGGAGCUACAGACGAGGAAGGGGUACUCCGAGAACUGCACGGUGGUGAUGAAGUCGAGCGCUGCCUCCAUCUCGAAGCUCACCUCAAUCCCCACACUCAAGAAGUCUGUAUCCACCGUCACAUUCCCCACUACCACCAUGGCGCCCCUGUGGAAAGCAUAGAACUGGCUAAGCUUCUGGCCAUUGAGAGCGGUUACAUCGAUCUGGACAUCAGAUGGCAUUUAGCCUGGGGGGGUUGAUGGUAUAAGCAGAUGCUUCUCUUCUCAAAACGCCCGUUCACCUUUAAUGCCCGAUUCAAAAUGGCCGCCAGUCAUAAGUGGGUUGGAAGGUGGAAUGCAGGCUAAACUCCAUGCCUCCAGAGAUAUCAACAGCCAAUCCGCCCUGGAACUCAACAGAGGCCCGCAGACCGGAUUGCAGAGGGAUUGCCUAAGAGAACAAUUCGAUUAUCAGAGAUGUAGAAGAAAUAGGGCCUGAAGCAUACUCUCGGUGGGAUGGGAGGAAAAGCCACAGGCGUACAGGAAACGCUCCUGCAGGACCACACCGUCCGCUUUAUGGAAGUCCAGGAACUCCAGCAUGGCCGAGAGAGAAGCAGGAGUCUGAGCAGAGUUGCGAAGCACUCUGAGGAUGUCAGCCUUGGCGGUGUUGCGGAGACUGUGGAUCAGGGACAGGAAGCUGCGUGGUGCUGAUGCCUUUGACAGGGUAUGAAUGAAAGUGAAGGACCACUCCCAAACACAUCAGUCUGCUUCUGAAGUCUCAUUCUGACCAUGAGAGAAGGAAAAGCCCUUACCUUGCGACGGGACACCGACGAGGGCAGUCGCGCACAGCAGAAAAGCGACGAGUCGCUGCAUGGCCGGCUCGCCGUGUAACCCGUAAAGUUCAGAGAGAAGCUUGACGUGAGGGCGAAAGAGCAGACAGGCGUAUGCGGCACAGAGAGCAGGCCAAGACAUCUGGAAUCGAGUAACAGAAGGGAUGUUGGAAUGCUCACGUGCACAAAAGGACUUCUGAAUUGUUGGUGUUGGCUGAAGGGUUGGGUUUGGUGUAAUGAAGGACCAGUCAGACAACGUUUGUGAGUUUCACGAUGAACACGGUACAUCAAAAUGAAGAGUCGAUACAUAAAGAAAGCUGAUGCCCUACAAAAGUGUGAUCAACAUCACAUCCUGCAGUUUUCCUAAUGUUCUCCAAGAGCACAGCAGAAACCACAACACUUGGGUGCAUAUUGUUGCUCCUUCUAUAACUUUUUUCCUUUACUCUCAAUUGCUCUCAUUUGUACCUCCUGCAAGAACUGUGACCGAGUUAAUAUAAAAUACGUAUGCACCAAGAAAACACCCCACAACAACAUUAUCAACCUUGAUAACUCUAGGAAUGGAGAAACCAACCACCAAGGUUAUCGGUGGAGGCUCAGCAGCAACCAAGGUACCAUCCGGAUUGUCACGCACCUCAAAUGGUUUGCUAUCAUUUUGAAAGCAAACGGACAUUGCUGAUAUUAUUAGUGGAAGAGCUACCAUUUCCUGCAAGAGGCAAUCUACUGUUUGGAUAAGGAACAGAUGUAACAAACCCAAGCAGGUGUACUAGGAACCUAAGCAGAUGUAACAGGCAUAACAGAAACCCAAGUAGCUCAAUGCUUAGUGGCAGUCACAUCCUGUACGUUAGAGCAUGUACAAUGUAGUGCUAGUGGUACUUCUAUAUCUCUCAUAACUAGUUUCUGAGUGAUGCAUUUUUGCCUUGUAACUCCUGAAUCUUAUGUUGAAGUGACUGGACCUUCAGGCAGUCAAAACUGAAGUCAAUUAAGGUGGGGUCCAUAAAAUAAUAAAACAGCAGUAAAAAGCAACAAUCAAAUUAAGAACAACUACGUGAUGUGUAACUCCAACUCGUCCACAGCGGAGCAUGCGCACUGUCUAAGGAGAAUAAUUCUUCUCCCAGGAUUUCUGCCAAAAACAAGAAAGGCAAAAUAAUGAAACAAAGUAACACACUUGUUCACCAAAAAAAAAAGGACUGAGCCAACCUAUCUGAAAAACAGUUAACUAGCCAGAGAAAUCUCAUUAACAAAUCAUUCUAGUAAUGAUGCCAUACCAAUUAUACAAUUUUAAAGUACAUAGCAUCAUGAUAAUAUUUAAGUGUAAAGAGUAUAAUACAUUUUCAAAAAUUAGUUGUAGAGAUUCAACUACAACAAACAAAUUUGUUAAUCUUAGAUGCUAGGUUAGCCAAUAAAAUAUCAGCGCAGCACCAACAGUUAGCCACGAGAGGCUUAACUGACAAUAAAGAACAAAGUUUGUACCAUGAUUGGAUACAGCCAUCACAAAGCAAACUAUACAAGCACUACAAAUAAUUGAAAGGCAUAUCAUGCAUCUUAGAACUUUCCAUAAAAUUGCAUUUUAAAACAACCAAAUAAAAUACAAUUUCCGGACCAAAGAACCAGUGUUUGCUCCAGGAAGUCGACCUCAUUAAAAGUGAGUGUGCCAGAAUGGUAAAGGCCAAAUUGUUUUACUGUUCUUUCCAAUAACAAGGACAGAGCUCCUCUUUCAUAGACCCUCACUGGGGCCAUCCUUGAUUACUGAUCUCAGCUUCUGUGAACAUCCUGUUGCUGUUAUCAGUCAAAGGUGGUGUGCUCCACAAGUUCAUCUCCUGUCGUCUGAAAUGUAUCCUUUGACUCAUCUGGAUGAGUAUGGAGAGAACUGAACAAACAAAAGAUCUACAUGUAGCUAGUUUUGCCAUUUGAUACAUGUAGCCCAUAUCCUACCAUAUCCGAACCACAGAGGCUGGUCCAAGGGUUACUGUCUCAUCUUUUUUCACUUAAUAGCAUCAGUUACUCUAUUUAAACUCACUGAACCAAAUGCUUAGUGUGAAGUUGUCAUGCAACCAGUUUCUCCCAGGUCAGCCAACAUUAAAUAUCACAUUUCCCCAAAUCCCAUUCACAGAAAGGUGCAACAUUCCACCAAACAAUCAAUUACUUGUUCAUCCUCACCUUUAAGUCACCUGUUUCUUAUUAUCCAUGCUUAUGUAAACCUGUCUGUUUCUUAGCCUCUCUGGGAAGUAGUGCUUAUACUCUGCCUUGUGUGUACUGAGUGGUUUCUUGUCUUUGCCCCUGUUGUGCUUUUUGGAUUUUUCCAGCUUGUUUCUUGCUUUGGAUUUAUUUACCUGGUUGUAUUUUUCCCUUUUGUUAUUGGAUUUUUUUUUUUUGACUGACUCCCUCGCUGGCAUUUUGGAUUCUCCCUCUAACUACAUUCUCUGUAUGAACAAAUUUCUUUCCUUUAUCCGUACAUGUCUUACCUGUUCUGUCCAUUACAGAAGCAUCGGUGGCAC
Electrophorus electricus (electric eel) is the source of this 5787-nucleotide non-coding RNA. The record is from RefSeq and is a predicted model, not a curated record. NCBI's taxonomy places the organism in Eukaryota, Metazoa, Chordata, Actinopteri, Gymnotiformes, Gymnotidae.